GAUAAACGCUGGCGGUGUACAUAAGACAUGCAAGUCGAACGGGAGAAGACAGGAAGAUUUAUCUACUUGUUGGACACCGUGGCGGACGGGUGAGUAACACGUAAGCAACCUGCCUAUAAGAGGGGAAUAACAGUGAGAAAUUACUGAUAAUACCGCAUAAGCUGGAGGUAUCGCAUGAUACAUUCAGAAAAGAUUUAUCGCUUAUAGAUGGGCUUGCGUCUGAUUAGCUAGUUGGUGAGAUAACAGCUCACCAAGGCGACGAUCAGUAGCCGGAUUGAGAGGUUGAACGGCCACAUUGGGACUGAGACACGGCCCAGACUCCUACGGGAGGCAGCAGUCGGGAAUAUUGCACAAUGGAGGAAACUCUGAUGCAGUGACACCGCGUAUAGGAAGAAGGUCUUAGGAUUGUAAGCUAUUGUCGUGUGAGAAGAAA
Molecule: ribosomal RNA, 433 nt
Filed under: Clostridiales bacterium oral taxon 075
Lineage: Bacteria; Bacillati; Bacillota; Clostridia; Eubacteriales
Description: bacterial SSU rRNA
Rfam family: Bacterial small subunit ribosomal RNA
Source: RNAcentral